AACGUAGGAGGCAAGCGUUAUCCGGAUUCACUGGGCGUAAAGCGCGUGCAGGCGGUUCGGUAAGUUGGGCGUGAAAUCUCCUGGCUCAACUGGGAGAGGUCGUCCAAUACUACCGGACUAGAGAGCAGUAGAGGAAGAUGGAAUUCCCGGUGUAGUGGUGAAAUGCGUAGAUAUCGGGAGGAACACCAGUGGCGAAGGCGGUCUUCUGGACUGUUUCUGACGCUCAGACGCGAAAGCUAGGGGAGCAAACGGG
RNAcentral lists this ribosomal RNA (253 nucleotides) under uncultured bacterium. RNAcentral describes it as "partial 16S ribosomal RNA". It matches the Rfam family "Bacterial small subunit ribosomal RNA", at positions 524 to 776 of the family's 1533-position model. The record is from RNAcentral.